GACGGAGGAUGCAAGUGUUAUCCGGAAUCACUGGGCGUAAAGCGUCUGUAGGUGGUUUAGUAAGUCUAUUGUUAAAUCUUGAGGCUCAACUUCAAAUCAGCGAUGGAAACUGCUAGACUAGAGUGUGGUAGAGGUAAGAGGAAUUUCCAGUGGAGCGGUGAAAUGCGUAGAUAUUGGAAAGAACACCGAUGGCGAAGGCAUCUUACUGGGCCAUAACUGACACUCAGAGACGAAAGCUAGGGUAGCAAAUGGGAUUAGAUACCCCAGUAGUCCUAGCAGUAAACGAUGGAUACUAGAUGUUGCCCGUUCACCGCAGUGUCAAAGCUAACGCGUUAAGUAUCCCGCCUGGGAAGUAUGCACGCAAGUGUG
This 369-nucleotide ribosomal RNA is filed under the name uncultured phototrophic eukaryote. Its description in RNAcentral is "SSU rRNA". It matches the Rfam family "Bacterial small subunit ribosomal RNA", at positions 524 to 896 of the family's 1533-position model. The record is from RNAcentral.